CGGGGCGGGGGGGCCUAUACAUGCAAGUCGAGCGCAGGAAGCAGGCAGAUCCCCUUCGGGGGUGAUGCCUGUGGAAUGAGCGGCGGACGGGUGAGUAACACGUGGGCAACCUGCCUGUAAGAUCGGAAUAACUCCGGGAAACCGGGGCUAAUGCCGGGUAAUCCUUUUUUUCGCAUGAAAGAAAGGUAAAAGAUGGCCUUUGGCUAUCACUUACAGAUGGGCCCGCGGCGCAUUAACUAGUUGGUGAGGUAAUAGCUCACCAAGGCGACGAUGCGUAACCGACCUGAGAGGGUGAUCGGCCACACUGGGACUGAAACACGGCCCAGACUCCUACGGGAGGCAGCAGUAGGGAAUCUUCCGCAAUGGACGAAAGUCUGACGGAACAACGCCGCGUGAACGAUGAAGGUCUUCGGAUCGUAAAGUUCUGUUGUUAGGGAAGAACAAGUACCGUGCGAAUAGAGCGGUACCUUGACGGUACCUAACGAGGAAGCCCCGGCUAACUACGUGCCAGCAGCCGCGGUAAUACGUAGGGGGCAAGCGUUGUCCGGAAUUAUUGGGCGUAAAGCGCGCGCAGGCGGUUUCUUAAGUCUGAUGUGAAAGCCCACGGCUCAACCGUGGAGGGCAUUGGAAACUGGGGAACUUGAGGACAGAAGAGGAGAGUGGAAUUCCACGUGUAGCGGUGAAAUGCGUAGAUAUGUGGAGGAACACCAGUGGCGAAGGCGACUCUCUGGUCUGUUUCUGACGCUGAAGUGCGAAAGCGUGGGUAGCAAACAGGAUUAGAUACCCUGGUAGUCCACGCC
RNAcentral lists this ribosomal RNA (800 nucleotides) under Halobacillus sp. JSM 101045. Its description in RNAcentral is "bacterial SSU rRNA". It matches the Rfam family "Bacterial small subunit ribosomal RNA", at positions 36 to 801 of the family's 1533-position model. The record is from RNAcentral. Lineage: Bacteria; Bacillati; Bacillota; Bacilli; Caryophanales; Bacillaceae.